This 465-nucleotide ribosomal RNA is filed under the name Vreelandella stevensii. Its description in RNAcentral is "partial 16S ribosomal RNA". It matches the Rfam family "Bacterial small subunit ribosomal RNA", at positions 338 to 795 of the family's 1533-position model. Lineage: Bacteria; Pseudomonadati; Pseudomonadota; Gammaproteobacteria; Oceanospirillales; Halomonadaceae. The record is from RNAcentral.
CCUACGGGAGGCUGCAGUGGGGAAUAUUGGACAAUGGGGGGAACCCUGAUCCAGCCAUGCCGCGUGUGUGAAGAAGGCCCUCGGGUUGUAAAGCACUUUCAGUGAGGAAGAACGCCUGGUGGUUAAUACCCAUCAGGAAAGACAUCACUCACAGAAGAAGCACCGGCUAACUCCGUGCCAGCAGCCGCGGUAAUACGGAGGGUGCGAGCGUUAAUCGGAAUUACUGGGCGUAAAGCGCGCGUAGGUGGCUUGAUAAGCCGGUUGUGAAAGCCCCGGGCUCAACCUGGGAACGGCAUCCGGAACUGUCAAGCUUGAGUGCAGGAGAGGAAGGUAGAAUUCCCGGGGUAGCGGGGAAAUGCGUAGAGAUCGGGAGGAAUACCAGUGGCGAAGGCGGCCUUCUGGAAUGAAAAUGACACUGAGGUGCGAAAGCGUGGUUAGCAAACAGGAUUAGAUACCCGUGUAGUC